UUUUUUCCAGGUUACUGGGUGGUGGCUUGAGCUGGUUCUGUGUUGUAUUGUUGAAAAGGAACCCCUAGAUAUUGAACCCAGUCCUGGUUCCUGCCGGCUCUCACCUGGCAGAAGAGUUACAUUUGGAAAAGAAUCGGCUGCAAAUUCUGGAUCUGUACUUGGAAGAGCUGUUUGUCUCGUCCCCUGAGGAUUGCCCCUCUGACAAGUCUACAGCAAAGACAGAGAAGACAGAAGCCGUCCCUGAGCUCGAAAUGUGUCAGAGCAGGGAGAAGGAAGGCUGUGGAGUUCAGUGUGUUUGCAUGCAGUCAUAACAAGGCUCCUCGACCUCUGCUGCUGUACAUCCACAACUCGAACCCUGGCCCAACAUAUCUUCAUGGACCGUUCAAAGAGGAAGGAUUUCUGUGAUGAAGUUAUGGUCGAAGUUCUUGAGAGGGCUCACAACGGGGUCCAUUUCCAGAAGCAGAGGGGCUUAAAACCAGAGAAAUGGCAAGCUGAGAGGGAGGCUUUGCUCCAUAUCAACAUGCUGGAGUUUUGGGCCAUCCACAAUGAAUUCCGUGAAUGUAUCAGACAUUCAGUGGUUCACAUACUCACUGACAAUAUCACCACUAUGUAAACAAACAAGAGGGAGCAUACUUCAGGUUGCUCUGCCUAGAGGCAAUCUGUGGUAAUUUUGCAUCAAGGAGGACAUUACUCCGAUAGGUGUCCAUUUACCCAGAGUUCAAAAUCAUCUCAUGGACCAUCUCAGCAGGUAUUUUUCUAUGCGGCACAAGUGGUCCCUGAAGACAAGUGUCCUCCAGGUCAUCUUCACAGUGUGGGACAUUCCCAUGAUUGAUCUUUUUGCCACAAGGGAAUACAGAAAAUGUCACCUGUUCUGCUCUCAGGGGGCCCUCAACCCAGGUUCCCUGUCCGACACCUUCCACCGCAGUUGGCAGCCAACUCUUUUGUUUACCUUUUCCCCAAU
This is a long non-coding RNA of Dermochelys coriacea (leatherback sea turtle), 961 nucleotides long. RefSeq lists it as uncharacterized. The record is from RefSeq and is a predicted model, not a curated record. The transcript has 3 exons. NCBI's taxonomy places the organism in Eukaryota, Metazoa, Chordata, Testudines, Dermochelyidae.